RNAcentral lists this long non-coding RNA (435 nucleotides) under Pan troglodytes (chimpanzee). RNAcentral describes it as "lincRNA". Lineage: Eukaryota; Metazoa; Chordata; Mammalia; Primates; Hominidae. The record is from RNAcentral.
CCUUUGCCACAUGAGGUAACAUUCACAGGAUCCGGGAAUGGGGACAUGGGCAUCCUUUGGAGGGUGGUUCAGCUGAGCAUGGGAUCAUGAUGCAGGCCCUGUUUAUAAAAUCCAAAUACUUGGAAGGCCGGGCACAGUGGCUCACACCUGUAAUUCCAACACUUAGGGAGGCCAAGGUGGGAGGAUCACUUGAGACCAGCCUGGGCAACAGAGCAAGACCCCAUCUCUACAAAUAAUUUUUAAAAAUUAGCAGCGCAUGGUAACAUGCACCUGUAGUCCCAGCUACUCCAGAGGCUGAGGCUGGAGGAUCUCUUGAGCCCAGGAGACGGAGGCUGCAGUGAGCUGUGGUUGUGCCACUGCACUCCAGCCUGGGAGACUAGCUAGACCCUGUCUCAAAAAAUAAAAAUUUAAAAUAAAAUACAUAGAGAAUCUCAA